This 326-nucleotide ribosomal RNA is filed under the name uncultured eukaryote. RNAcentral describes it as "partial 18S ribosomal RNA". It matches the Rfam family "Eukaryotic small subunit ribosomal RNA", at positions 1470 to 1796 of the family's 1831-position model. The record is from RNAcentral.
CCCUUAGAUGUUCUGGGCCGCACGCGCGCUACACUGAUGCAUUCAACGAGUCCAACCUUGACCGAGAGGUCCGGGUAAUCUUUGAAACUGCAUCGUGAUGGGGCUAGAUUAUUGCAAUUAUUAAUCUUCAACGAGGAAUGCCUAGUAAGCGUGAUUCAUCAAAUCGCGUUGAUUACGUCCCUGCCCUUUGUACACACCGCCCGUCGCUCCUACCGAUUGAGUGUGUUGGUGAGGAGUUUGGAUUGACCUCGGAAGGUGGUUCGCCACCGUCCGUAGCUGAGAAGUUCUCCAAACCGCCCCACUUAGAGGAAGGAGAAGUCGUAACA